CUUCUUGGAUGAGUUGCGAACGGGUGAGUAACGCGUAGGUAACCUGCCUUGUAGCGGGGGAUAACUAUUGGAAACGAUAGCUAAUACCGCAUAACAAUAGGUGACACAUGUCAUUUAUUUGAAAGGGGCAAUUGCUCCACUACAAGAUGGACCUGCGUUGUAUUAGCUAGUAGGUGAGGUAACGGCUCACCUAGGCGACGAUACAUAGCCGACCUGAGAGGGUGAUCGGCCACACUGGGACUGAGACACGGCCCAGACUCCUACGGGAGGCAGCAGUAGGGAAUCUUCGGCAAUGGGGGCAACCCUGACCGAGCAACGCCGCGUGAGUGAAGAAGGUUUUCGGAUCGUAAAGCUCUGUUGUAAGUCAAGAACGAGUGUGAGAGUGGAAAGUUCACACUGUGACGGUAGCUUACCAGAAAGGGACGGCUAACUACGUGCCAGCAGCCGCGGUAAUACGUAGGUCCCGAGCGUUGUCCGGAUUUAUUGGGCGUAAAGCGAGCGCAGGCGGUUUGAUAAGUCUGAAGUUAAAGGCUGUGGCUCAACCAUAGUUCGCUUUGGAAACUGUCAAACUUGAGUGCAGAAGGGGAGAGUGGAAUUCCAUGUGUAGCGGUGAAAUGCGUAGAUAUAUGGAGGAACACCGGUGGCGAAAGCGGCUCUCUGGUCUGUAACUGACGCUGAGGCUCGAAAGCGUGGGGAGCGAACAGGAUUAGAUACCCUGGUAGUCCACGCCGUAAACGAUGAGUGCUAGGUGUUGGAUCCUUUCCGGGAUUCAGUGCCGCAGCUAACGCAUUAAGCACUCCGCCUGGGGAGUACGACCGCAAGGUUGAAACUCAAAGGAAUUGACGGGGGCCCGCACAAGCGGUGGAGCAUGUGGUUUAAUUCGAAGCAACGCGAAGAACCUUACCAGGUCUUGACAUCCCGAUGCUAUUUCUAGAGAUAGGAAGUUACUUCGGUACAUCGGUGACAGGUGGUGCAUGGUUGUCGUCAGCUCGUGUCGUGAGAUGUUGGGUUAAGUCCCGCAACGAGCGCAACCCCUAUUGUUAGUUGCCAUCAUUCAGUUGGGCACUCUAGCGAGACUGCCGGUAAUAAACCGGAGGAAGGUGGGGAUGACGUCAAAUCAUCAUGCCCCUUAUGACCUGGGCUACACACGUGCUACAAUGGUUGGUACAACGAGUUGCGAGUCGGUGACGGCAAGCUAAUCUCUUAAAGCCAAUCUCAGUUCGGAUUGUAGGCUGCAACUCGCCUACAUGAAGUCGGAAUCGCUAGUAAUCGCGGAUCAGCACGCCGCGGUGAAUACGUUCCCGGGCCUUGUACACACCGCCCGUCACACCACGAGAGUUUGUAACACCCGAAGUCGGUGAGGUAAC
RNAcentral lists this ribosomal RNA (1367 nucleotides) under Streptococcus salivarius. RNAcentral describes it as "bacterial SSU rRNA". It matches the Rfam family "Bacterial small subunit ribosomal RNA", at positions 83 to 1439 of the family's 1533-position model. Lineage: Bacteria; Bacillati; Bacillota; Bacilli; Lactobacillales; Streptococcaceae. The record is from RNAcentral.